UUCUCUUCCUAUCAUACGUAAAGGCAUAAGAGAAAGGAGAGAUACAACAGUGAGGAAAGAACAAAAACAGCCAAGAUGGCUUCAGUGAGAACCAACUUUUCUACAAAUAUCAACCUUUCUGGAAUUUGAUUCAGAUCACUCAGGACAGGCCAUUCUUGGAUCUUUGGUCAUGGCUGAGGACCUUAAUGACAAGCUGGGAUCUGAAGGAAAGACGGACUUGGACAAAGAGUUGGUGUUAAAUGUAUUUAAAAAUGAUGCUGCUGAUCAGGAGUUUAACCUUGAAGCUGCAAUUAAAAAUGUUGAAAAAAUGU
This is a long non-coding RNA of Nothoprocta perdicaria, 311 nucleotides long. RefSeq lists it as uncharacterized. Lineage: Eukaryota; Metazoa; Chordata; Aves; Tinamiformes; Tinamidae. The record is from RefSeq and is a predicted model, not a curated record. The transcript has 3 exons.